This 736-nucleotide ribosomal RNA is filed under the name Comamonas testosteroni. RNAcentral's name for it is "bacterial SSU rRNA". It matches the Rfam family "Bacterial small subunit ribosomal RNA", at positions 85 to 817 of the family's 1533-position model. The record is from RNAcentral. Lineage: Bacteria; Pseudomonadati; Pseudomonadota; Betaproteobacteria; Burkholderiales; Comamonadaceae.
AUGCUGACGAGUGGCGAACGGGUGAGUAAUACAUCGGAACGUGCCUAGUAGUGGGGGAUAACUACUCGAAAGAGUAGCUAAUACCGCAUGAGAUCUACGGAUGAAAGCAGGGGACCUUCGGGCCUUGUGCUACUAGAGCGGCUGAUGGCAGAUUAGGUAGUUGGUGGGGUAAAGGCUUACCAAGCCUGCGAUCUGUAGCUGGUCUGAGAGGACGACCAGCCACACUGGGACUGAGACACGGCCCAAACUCCUACGGGAGGCAGCAGUGGGGAAUUUUGGACAAUGGGCGAAAGCCUGAUCCAGCAAUGCCGCGUGCAGGAUGAAGGCCCUCGGGUUGUAAACUGCUUUUGUACGGAACGAAAAGCCUGGGGCUAAUAUCCCCGGGUCAUGACGGUACCGUAAGAAUAAGCACCGGCUAACUACGUGCCAGCAGCCGCGGUAAUACGUAGGGUGCAAGCGUUAAUCGGAAUUACUGGGCGUAAAGCGUGCGCAGGCGGUUUUGUAAGACAGUGGUGAAAUCCCCGGGCUCAACCUGGGAACUGCCAUUGUGACUGCAAAGCUAGAGUGCGGCAGAGGGGGAUGGAAUUCCGCGUGUAGCAGUGAAAUGCGUAGAUAUGCGGAGGAACACCGAUGGCGAAGGCAAUCCCCUGGGCCUGCACUGACGCUCAUGCACGAAAGCGUGGGGAGCAAACAGGAUUAGAUACCCUGGUAGUCCACGCCCUAAACGAUGUCAACU